GUGGGGAAUAUUGGACAAUGGGCGCAAGCCUGAUCCAGCCAUGCCGCGUGAGUGAUGAAGGCCCUAGGGUUGUAAAGCUCUUUCACCGGUGAAGAUAAUGACGGUAACCGGAGAAGAAGCCCCGGCUAACUUCGUGCCAGCAGCCGCGGUAAUACGAAGGGGGCUAGCGUUGUUCGGAAUUACUGGGCGUAAAGCGCACGUAGGCGGACAUUUAAGUCAGGGGUGAAAUCCCAGAGCUCAACUCUGGAACUGCCUUUGAUACUGGGUGUCUUGAGUAUGGAAGAGGUAAGUGGAAUUCCGAGUGUAGAGGUGAAAUUCGUAGAUAUUCGGAGGAACACCAGUGGCGAAGGCGGCUCACUGGCUCGAUACUGACGCUGAGGUGCGAAAGCGUGGGGAGCAAACAGGAUUAGAAACCCCGGUAGUCC
RNAcentral lists this ribosomal RNA (425 nucleotides) under uncultured bacterium. Its description in RNAcentral is "partial 16S ribosomal RNA". It matches the Rfam family "Bacterial small subunit ribosomal RNA", at positions 354 to 796 of the family's 1533-position model. The record is from RNAcentral.